UGAUUGAACGCUGGCGGCAGGCCUAACACAUGCAAGUCGAACGGUAACAGGAAGCAGCUUGCUGCUUUGCUGACGAGUGGCGGACGGGUGAGUAAUGUCUGGGAAACUGCCUGAUGGAGGGGGAUAACUACUGGAAACGGUAGCUAAUACCGCAUAACGUCGCAAGACCAAAGAGGGGGACCUUAGGGCCUCUUGCCAUCGGAUGUGCCCAGAUGGGAUUAGCUAGUAGGUGGGGUAACGGCUCACCUAGGCGACGAUCCCUAGCUGGUCUGAGAGGAUGACCAGCCACACUGGAACUGAGACACGGUUCAGACUCCUACGGGAGGCAGCAGUGGGGAAUAUUGCACAAUGGGCGCAAGCCUGAUGCAGCCAUGCCGCGUGUAUGAAGAAGGCCUUCGGGUUGUAAAGUACUUUCAGCGGGGAGGAAGGGAGUAAAGUUAAUACCUUUGCUCAUUGACGUUACCCGCAGAAGAAGCACCGGCUAACUCCGUGCCAGCAGCCGCGGUAAUACGGAGGGUGCAGGCGUUAAUCGGAAUUACUGGGCGUAAAGCGCACGCAGGCGGUUUGUUAAGUCAGAUGUGAAAUCCCCGGGCUCAACCUGGGAACUGCAUCUGAUACUGGCAAGCUUGAGUCUCGUAGAGGGGGGUAGAAUUCCAGGUGUAGCGGUGAAAUGCGUAGAGAUCUGGAGGAAUACCGGUGGCGAAGGCGGCCCCCUGGACGAAGACUGACGCUCAGGUGCGAAAGCGUGGGGAGCAAACAGGAUUAGAUACCCUGGUAGUCCACGCCGUAAACGAUGUCGACUUGGAGGUUGUGCCCUUGAGGCGUGGCUUCCGGAGCUAACGCGUUAAGUCGACCGCCUGGGGAGUACGGCCGCAAGGUUAAAACUCAAAUGAAUUGACGGGGGCCCGCACAAGCGGUGGAGCAUGUGGUUUAAUUCGAUGCAACGCGAAGAACCUUACCUGGUCUUGACAUCCACGGAAGUUUUCAGAGAUGAGAAUGUGCCUUCGGGAACCGUGAGACAGGUGCUGCAUGGCUGUCGUCAGCUCGUGUUGUGAAAUGUUGGGUUAAGUCCCGCAACGAGCGCAACCCUUAUCCUUUGUUGCCAGCGGUCCGGCCGGGAACUCAAAGGAGACUGCCAGUGAUAAACUGGAGGAAGGUGGGGAUGACGUCAAGUCAUCAUGGCCCUUACGACCAGGGCUACACACGUGCUACAAUGGCGCAUACAAAGAGAAGCGACCUCGCGAGAGCAAGCGGACCUCAUAAAGUGCGUCGUAGUCCGGAUUGGAGUCUGCAACUCGACUCCAUGAAGUCGGAAUCGCUAGUAAUCGUGGAUCAGAAUGCCACGGUGAAUACGUUCCCGGGCCUUGUACACACCGCCCGUCACACCAUGGGAGUGGGUUGCAAAAGAAGUAGGUAGCUUAACCUUCGGGAGGGCGCUUACCACUUUGU
Molecule: ribosomal RNA, 1449 nt
Filed under: uncultured organism
Description: SSU rRNA
Rfam family: Bacterial small subunit ribosomal RNA
Source: RNAcentral